UACGUAGGGGGCAAGCGUUGUCCGGAAUCAUUGGGCGUAAAGCGCGCGUAGGCGGCCCGGUAAGUCCGCUGUGAAAGUCGGGGGCUCAACCCUCGGAUGCCGGUGGAUACUGUCGGGCUUGAGUGCGGAAGAGGCGAGUGGAAUUCCUGGUGUAGCGGUGAAAUGCGCAGAUAUCAGGAGGAACACCAAUUGCGAAGGCAGCUCGCUGGAACGUAACUGACGCUGAGACGCGAAAGCGUGGGGAGCAAACAGG
RNAcentral lists this ribosomal RNA (253 nucleotides) under uncultured bacterium. Its description in RNAcentral is "partial 16S ribosomal RNA". It matches the Rfam family "Bacterial small subunit ribosomal RNA", at positions 524 to 776 of the family's 1533-position model. The record is from RNAcentral.